AAUGAACGUUGGCGGCGUGGAUUAGGCAUGCAAGUCGGACGGGCCGCAAGGCCAGUGGCGCAAGGGUGAGUAAGGCGACGGUAACCAACCCCGCGGAUGGGCAUAGCCGGGGGAAACCCCGGGUAAUUCCCGGCGACGUGGCGUCCCGGCAUCGGGGUGCCACCAAAGAUUCAUCGCCGCGGGACGGGCCGUCGUGGUAUUAGGUAGUUGGCGGGGUGACGGCCCACCAAGCCUGCGAUGCCUACCGGGCGUGCGAGCGUGGCCCGGCACACUGGGACUGAGACACUG
Molecule: ribosomal RNA, 288 nt
Filed under: uncultured bacterium
Lineage: Bacteria
Description: partial 16S ribosomal RNA
Rfam family: Bacterial small subunit ribosomal RNA
Source: RNAcentral